Molecule: ribosomal RNA, 376 nt
Filed under: Pristimantis luscombei
Lineage: Eukaryota; Metazoa; Chordata; Amphibia; Anura; Strabomantidae
Description: partial 16S ribosomal RNA
Rfam family: Bacterial large subunit ribosomal RNA
Source: RNAcentral
UUUCUGAUCAGUGAAACUAAUCUCCUCGUGACAAAGCGAAGAUCCCCCUAUAAGACGAGAAGACCCUAUGGAGCUUAAAACAUAACAAUAUCUGGCAUUUUAAUUGUGUGUUUUUGGUUGGGGUGACCGCGGAGAAAAACUUAUCCUCCACAAUGAAUAAACUACAAGUUACAACUUUAAGUAUCAAAAAAUUGACAUUCAUGACCCAAUAAAUUGAUCAAUGAACUAAGUUACCCUAGGGAUAACAGCACAAUCCACCUUGAGAGCUCCUAUCGACAGGUGGGCUUAUGACCUCGAUGUUGGAUUAGGGCAUCCUAGUGGUGCAGCCGCUACUAAAGGUUCGUUUGUUCAACGAUUAAAGCCCCACGUGAUCUGA